UGUGUGUGUGUGUGUGUGUGUGUGUGUGUGUGUGCGCGCACACACACACACACACACACUUAAAACACAAG
Non-coding RNA from Podarcis lilfordi (Lilford's wall lizard), 71 nucleotides. The record is from the annotation of a GenBank genome assembly. NCBI's taxonomy places the organism in Eukaryota, Metazoa, Chordata, Lepidosauria, Squamata, Lacertidae.